RNAcentral lists this ribosomal RNA (497 nucleotides) under uncultured bacterium. RNAcentral describes it as "partial 16S ribosomal RNA". It matches the Rfam family "Bacterial small subunit ribosomal RNA", at positions 28 to 507 of the family's 1533-position model. The record is from RNAcentral.
GAUGAACGCUGGCGGCGUGCCUAAUACAUGCAAGUCGAGCGAACAGACGAGGAGCUUGCUCCUCUGACGUUAGCGGCGGACGGGUGAGUAACACGUGGAUAACCUACCUAUAAGACUGGGAUAACUUCGGGAAACCGGAGCUAAUACCGGAUAAUAUAUUGAACCGCAUGGUUCAAUAGUGAAAGACGGUUUUGCUGUCACUUAUAGAUGGAUCCGCGCCGCAUUAGCUAGUUGGUAAGGUAACGGCUUACCAAGGCGACGAUGCGUAGCCGACCUGAGAGGGUGAUCGGCCACACUGGAACUGGGACACGGUCCAGACUCCUACGGGAGGCAGCAGUAGGGAAUCUUCCGCAAUGGGCGAAAGCCUGACGGAGCAACGCCGCGUGAGUGAUGAAGGUCUUCGGAUCGUAAAACUCUGUUAUUAGGGAAGAACAAAUGUGUAAGUAACUAUGCACGUCUUGACGGUACCUAAUCAGAAAGCCACGGCUAACUACGUG